Molecule: ribosomal RNA, 78 nt
Filed under: Steinernema glaseri
Lineage: Eukaryota; Metazoa; Nematoda; Chromadorea; Rhabditida; Steinernematidae
Also listed under: 7 other names
Description: partial 28S ribosomal RNA
Rfam family: Eukaryotic large subunit ribosomal RNA
Source: RNAcentral
ACGACCUCAACUCAAGCAAGACUACCCGCUGAACUUAAGCAUAUCAGUAAGCGGAGGAAAAGAAACUAACUAGGAUUU